AGCUCACGACUAGUACCAGACACCUAGCCAGCUAUUCAGGAAUGGUGAAGACCGUUUUACUAAACCAGAAUAACCCCUAACUACUCACAGAUAAGGAGAAGAAACUCUUUAGCUGUCACCAAGGAAACUCCUCUUUGCAACAAGGGACCACAACCAAUCAAAAUGAAGAGCUCAACAUUUUAAAAUUUAAUUGAAUUUUGUGUUUUCAGCAUGGGUGUGUUGAUUACAUUUAUUACGUCUGCCCAUCACAUGUGUAUCUGGUGCCAUCAGAGGACAGAAGAGGGUGUCAGAUGCCCCAAAAUUGGAAUUGUGGAUGGUUGUGAGAUGCCCUGUGGGUGCUGGGAAUGGAACCCAGGUCCUCUUGAGGAGCAGCGAUGCCCUGGAUCCACUGAACAUCUCUCCAGCCCCCAGGGUGAGGUGGGAAUUUCUGGUUUCUUUGGAAACUCAGUCAUGUCACGAGGUGUUUUUCUGGAUGCUGUCUGGGGAGAGGCUGUUUUACUGAAGCAUGUGAGAGCCUGUGAUGUUUUGCUGUCGUGGACACUUGAGAGGGUGUGUGAUAUUUGGAAAGAAUGUAAUCGGAACUCCACGAACAGUGAAAGGAGGUUCUUACAUUUCGAUGUGUACAAUGCUUCACUGGUCUUCGCUGGUCUUCACUCUGUAGAGAGAAACACACCAAAGAACUUCCUAUGGUAUUCUGGCUGAUUGUGGCUGCUUCCAUGGACUUUUGUCCAUUCGACAGAGCCUUGUGGUUUGUGCUGGAUCAAACCAGCACUGCUGCUUUAUGUUUGGUGCUUGCUAUUGAAUUGGACUGCUGGUACCCUAACAACAAUGAAUGGAAUUGCCCCCAAAGAACUACUUCUAAACAGGUCUACAACUCCCUUUUCCUAUAGACCUCCUUCUUCCUCUACCUCUGGUUGGUGGGCUAGAAGGGAAGUUGAAGAAUUUAAGAACCCUAAAUAAAGUAGAUUUAG
RNAcentral lists this long non-coding RNA (971 nucleotides) under Mus musculus (house mouse). RNAcentral describes it as "long non-coding RNA chr2:104570156-104571127". Lineage: Eukaryota; Metazoa; Chordata; Mammalia; Rodentia; Muridae. The record is from RNAcentral.